AGAUCACCUAGUGGCGCGAACGCGAGAACAGGAAGUAAAGCCGACAAGCUAGCUAGCACCAGAGCUCGGGACAGUCUAGAGGAAAAUCGCUGUAAACACUAAUAAAAGGUUGUGUGCUAACCGCAAUAUUGGCCAGGCGGAGGGACACGCUGAGCAGCAGUGCAGAGGGGAGAGGUGAUGUUACUUGCCAAGUGUGUAGCAGCUAUCGUUCAACACACUGGAAGAAAUUUUCCACUUGUCGAAGUGGUUGGUUCUUUACUUCUUCUCCUAUUGCUCCAUCCAAAACUCCACAGCAUAUGUGAGACACUAAACAAAUAAAGGCUCUAUAAGAGGUUUCUAAGCGGGCACUUGUCAGAUGAUUUAGGAAAGUAAGACCCAUGGGUAAUAGAUCCACUGAUGGCGCAGUUUUAUGGGAAAGCACAUUCAAAUGCAAAAUUGCAGCGUAUGUCUUCUGACCGGGAGGGAAUCAACCAGAAUGAGCUAACCACCCACAGAGGACCAUGAUUUUCUUGAUUUGUGUCAUUGUCAGAUCCCAGGGAGCAAAAUGCAGACUGCACACAAACCCACUGGUGAGCCGCAUGUAACAAAAAUCCCAUCGAGUGCUGUAUUGGUGGUUGUUUGUCCUAACACAUUGUGGCGAGCAGCAGUUUCUGCAAUAAGCAGAGUGCGCUCUGACAAGAACUGUGCUGUGUAUUACAUUUCCUACCCUGCUAAUAUGUCAUAGACAUCAAAGGAAAGGGAAACUGGCAUUGUCAAAACUCCAAAAGUUGAUACAUGAAAAAAAUCAACAGUUAUAUUAUAUCUAAAUAACAGAAGAAAAACUGUAAGGGAAAAAAUAUUGCAACUGCCUUCACAGUUGUCAUUCACAUUAUGCAAAAACGCAUGCAAGCUACCCGUUCCACAGUAACAUCUCGGGUCCUAUUUCAACAAAUUAUUUUUGCAAGUCGUGCGUUCACAUAGAAUGCAAAUGAUUGCAGUGUCCCAUUUUCAACAAUUAUAUAGCUCGGUAAUAAUUGCACAUAAAUCUGCAUGCAUCUUAAGCAUGAAGGAGCUUUCGUAAAACACAGAGCAGCGCAAAUGAAUGUUCGUUGCAGACUGGGUGCAAUGGGACAUUGCUGGGGCACGCAUCAUUUCCUGAGGAUCCCUUGCAAGCAGGAAGCAAUUUGUUUCCUGUGGAGGACAGAACUACGGAGGGAGGCAGAUGCAUUACAUGGAAUUGUGUUUACUAACAUCUUGUUGGCUGUAAACCACAUGAUACUGUUGUAUUACAUGCAGAUCUAAAAUAGAAACAAUCACAUUAAAACAUGUCUAGUCUAUGGGAUACAUUUCAAGCCCUGUCGACCUGAUUGUAUGUAAUAUAUCAUAUUCUCACAAUAGGAAAAUAUCAAAAUGACAUCAAACAAAAUGUUGAAUAUAUUACAUAUCAUAAUCGGAAUAUAUCAUAUUCUCACAAUAGGAAAAUAUCAAAAUGACAUCAAACAAAAUUCAACAAAAUAUUGAAUUUGAUAAACCAUCCCAGACCUGCCUUAAGAUGUACUUCUACAAUAUGUGCUCAUAGUGUAAUUUCCGUAGUUAUUGUAGAAAUGUGUUAGGCAUCAUCUUAAUUCAUCUAAUGGUGUUCCAUUUUAGCAGCGUCCCAUAGGAUCUGAAGGAGCAGCCCCAUCAUGUCAUAUUUAUUAUUCAAAUAACUGAUCUCAAUUAAUGAGCCAGACAUUAUAAUGAGCUAUUACGCCAGAAUUUCCUAUUGUGCGGAUGACACUGGAGAACAUUCAGCCCGGUGGGUAAUUAUAGCUCAAUGAAACCGACAUAAGUGAAAUGAUGCAGAUGAAGAAAAUGGUUGCGCUUUAAUCCUCGGCAAGGCACACAUCUGGGAAUCUGUUUUUUUUUUCUUCUUCAAUUAAAACCAAGUAUGUUCUGAGCUCAGUGAAUGGGGAUUUAGAAGAAUCCAACACAUGAAAUAGAAAAAAAGAAUCUCGCUAACUGAAGGCAGCCAUUAUAGGCAGCAGUGAAAAUAAUUAUCACAAUAGAUCCAAACGUACAUCCAUCCACAGGUUGUGGGUCUUUAAUGGUGUUUAAUUCACAUUUGAUUGGAUUGUCUCUUGAGAUACGCUCUUAAAAAAUGCACAAAUGAAGCGGACUAAUCAGCUUCGUCCUUGGUCAAACAGAAUUAAGAGGCGGCGGCAGAGCUUGUUUAUGGCUGCGGGGUUAAAGAAGGGCUUCUCAUUAUGCACCCUUCCCCGAGACAACACUCGGCCUCACCCAAGGCAUGGAGUGUCACUGAGAUUAUACACCUCUCUGCAUAAUGUCAGCCUACUGGUGGACAGAAAAAAAAACACUGCGUGUAGCCCUUUGAUGCUUGCAGCGCCCCCGCCCCCAUCAACAACUACCCUCAUCUCAGUCAAUCAAUCCUUCUCGCAAAAAUCACAAGGUGACAUGGACGCUGGUUGCCCUGGCAACCAUUGCUAUACAACUGUUGCUGGCUCUCUCAAGAACAAGGCACGAGGGAGAGGAAAUAAAAGGCUAGAGGAAGGGAGGGAGGGACAAGGGUGAAAGGUCACGCCAUGGCUUCUGCUGCAGCCUCCUCUCCAAGGUGGCUUCUCGGCUCAAAGCUCUGCAGCAAACUACCAAUUAAUUUCAGAAACUAAUGAAAAAACUUCCUUUUUGUAAAUGUAGGUGCACAUUUCUAAUCAUCUCCUCAGCAGCUGCUCACUUAUAUAUAUUUGAUAUAGCAUUAAAAUUAGGGUUUUAUAUUUAUGCCCUUAUCUCUCUAUUAUAAAGGGUGGAACAAAAAAAUACAUGAGACUCAGGAGUUAUAAAUAGUCCACACUAAUG
Doryrhamphus excisus (bluestripe pipefish) is the source of this 2832-nucleotide non-coding RNA. The record is from RefSeq and is a predicted model, not a curated record. Lineage: Eukaryota; Metazoa; Chordata; Actinopteri; Syngnathiformes; Syngnathidae.